GAGUUUGAUCCUGGCUCAGUCGUGCGAACUCUGCGUAGUGAUUAGAUGCUUACAUCAUGAUUUACAUUUGAGUGAGUGGCGAACUGGUGAGUAACAUAUGGGAAACCUGCCCAGAAGCGGGGGAUAACACCUGGAAAUAGAUGCUAAUACCGCAUAACAACUUGGACCGCAUGGUCCGAGUUUGAAAGAUGGCUUCGGCUAUCACUUUUGGAUGGUCCCGCGGCGUAUUAGCUAGAUGGUGGGGUAACGGCUCACCAUGGCAAUGAUACGUAGCCGACCUGAGAGGGUAAUCGGCCACAUUGGGACUGAGACACGGCCCAAACUCCUACGGGAGGCAGCAGUAGGGAAUCUUCCACAAUGGACGAAAGUCUGAUGGAGCAACGCCGCGUGAGUGAAGAAGGGUUUCGGCUCGUAAAACUCUGUUGUUAAAGAAGAACAUAUCUGAGAGUAACUGUUCAGGUAUUGACGGUAUUUAACCAGAAAGCCACGGCUAACUACGUGCCAGCAGCCGCGGUAAUACGUAGGUGGCAAGCGUUGUCCGGAUUUAUUGGGCGUAAAGCGAGCGCAGGCGGUUUUUUAAGUCUGAUGUGAAAGCCUUCGGCUCAACCGAAGAAGUGCAUCGGAAACUGGGAAACUUGAGUGCAGAAGAGGACAGUGGAACUCCAUGUGUAGCGGUGAAAUGCGUAGAUAUAUGGAAGAACACCAGUGGCGAACGCGGCUGUCUGGUCUGUAACUGACGCUGAGGCUCGAAAGUAUGGGUAGCAAACAGGAUUAGAUACCCUGGUAGUCCAUACCGUAAACGAUGAAUGCUAAGUGUUGGAGGGUUUCCGCCCUUCAGUGCUGCAGCUAACGCAUUAAGCAUUCCGCCUGGGGAGUACGGCCGCAAGGCUGAAACUCAAAGGAAUUGACGGGGGCCCGCACAAGCGGUGGAGCAUGUGGUUUAAUUCGAAGCUACGCGAAGAACCUUACCAGGUCUUGACAUACUAUGCAAAUCUAAGAGAUUAGACGUUCCCUUCGGGGACAUGGAUACAGGUGGUGCAUGGUUGUCGUCAGCUCGUGUCGUGAGAUGUUGGGUUAAGUCCCGCAACGAGCGCAACCCUUAUUAUCAGUUGCCAGCAUUAAGUUGGGCACUCUGGUGAGACUGCCGGUGACAAACCGGAGGAAGGUGGGGAUGACGUCAAAUCAUCAUGCCCCUUAUGACCUGGGCUACACACGUGCUACAAUGGAUGGUACAACGAGUUGCGAACUCGCGAGAGUAAGCUAAUCUCUUAAAGCCAUUCUCAGUUCGGAUUGUAGGCUGCAACUCGCCUACAUGAAGUCGGAAUCGCUAGUAAUCGCGGAUCAGCAUGCCGCGGUGAAUACGUUCCCGGGCCUUGUACACACCGCCCGUCACACCAUUAGAGUUUGUAACACCCAAAGUCGGUGGGGUAACCUUUUAGGAACUCAGCCUCGUAAGGUGGGACAGAUGAUUAGGGGAAGUCGUCAACAGGACCCAAGUGC
This 1500-nucleotide ribosomal RNA is filed under the name Lactiplantibacillus plantarum. RNAcentral describes it as "bacterial SSU rRNA". It matches the Rfam family "Bacterial small subunit ribosomal RNA". Lineage: Bacteria; Bacillati; Bacillota; Bacilli; Lactobacillales; Lactobacillaceae. The record is from RNAcentral.